AAAAAAUAAAAUUAAAAUACUAAAAUAGUAUUUAAAUAAAUAUUUAUUGAAACUUAAAUAAUUUGGCGGUAUUUUAGUUCAUUUAGAGGAAUCUGUUUAAUAAUUGAUAUUCCACGAAUAAAUUUACUUAAUUUAUAAUUUUGUAUAUCGUUGUUAUAAAAGUAUUUUUUAAUGAGAUUAAUAUUUAAAAUUUAAUAUAUAAAUUUAAAUCAGAUCAAGAUGCAGAUUAUAAUUAAGAAUAUAAUGGAUUACAAUAAAUUUAUUUAAAUGAAUUUUAAUUUGUAAAAAUUAAUUGAAAGUGGAUUUAAAUGUAAUUUUAUUUAAUUUAAUAAAAUGAUUAAAAAUUAAAAUAUGU
RNAcentral lists this ribosomal RNA (355 nucleotides) under Busseola sp. BUTAG7174. RNAcentral's name for it is "partial 12S small subunit ribosomal RNA". The record is from RNAcentral. Lineage: Eukaryota; Metazoa; Arthropoda; Insecta; Lepidoptera; Noctuidae.